AUUGAACGCUGGCGGCAGGCCUAACACAUGCAAGUCGAACGGUAACAGGAAGCAGCUUGCUGCUUCGCUGACGAGUGGCGGACGGGUGAGUAAUGUCUGGGAAGCUGCCUGAUGGAGGGGGAUAACUACUGGAAACGGUAGCUAAUACCGCAUAAUGUCGCAAGACCAAAGAGGGGGACCUUCGGGCCUCUUGCCAUCGGAUGUGCCCCGAUGGGAUUAGCUUGUUGGUGGGGUAACGGCUCACCAAGGCGACGAUCCCUAGCUGGUCUGAGAGGAUGACCAGCCACACUGGAACUGAGACACGGUCCAGACUCCUACGGGAGGCAGCAGUGGGGAAUAUUGCACAAUGGGCGCAAGCCUGAUGCAGCCAUGCCGCGUGUAUGAAGAAGGCCUUCGGGUUGUAAAGUACUUUUGGCGGGGAGGAAGGGAGUAAAGUUAAUACCUUGGCUUAUUGACGGUACCCGCAGAAGAAGCACCGGCUAACUCCGUG
This 490-nucleotide ribosomal RNA is filed under the name uncultured bacterium. RNAcentral describes it as "partial 16S ribosomal RNA". It matches the Rfam family "Bacterial small subunit ribosomal RNA", at positions 30 to 507 of the family's 1533-position model. The record is from RNAcentral.